This 247-nucleotide ribosomal RNA is filed under the name uncultured bacterium. RNAcentral describes it as "partial small subunit ribosomal RNA". It matches the Rfam family "Bacterial small subunit ribosomal RNA", at positions 26 to 286 of the family's 1533-position model. The record is from RNAcentral.
AGAAUCAACGCUGGCGGCGUGCCUAACACAUGCAAGUCGAACGAGAAAGGGUAGCAAUACCUGAGUAAAGUGGCGCACGGGUGAGUAACACGUGACUAACCUACCCUGGAGUGGGGGAUAACUGAGGGAAACCUUAGCUAAUACCGCAAUAAUACCUACGGGUCAAAGGAGCAAUUCGCUUCAGGAGGGGGUCGCGGCCGAUUAGUUAGUUGGCGGGGUAAUGGCCCACCAAGACGAUGAUCGGUAU